Molecule: transfer RNA, 70 nt
Filed under: Epiplatys spilargyreius
Lineage: Eukaryota; Metazoa; Chordata; Actinopteri; Cyprinodontiformes; Nothobranchiidae
Also listed under: 1 other name
Description: tRNA-Pro
Rfam family: tRNA
About the family: Transfer RNA (tRNA) molecules are approximately 80 nucleotides in length. Their secondary structure includes four short double-helical elements and three loops (D, anti-codon, and T loops). Further hydrogen bonds mediate the characteristic L-shaped molecular structure. tRNAs have two regions of fundamental functional importance: the anti-codon, which is responsible for specific mRNA codon recognition, and the 3' end, to which the tRNAs corresponding amino acid is attached (by aminoacyl-tRNA synthetases). tRNAs cope with the degeneracy of the genetic code in two manners: having more than one tRNA (with a specific anti-codon) for a particular amino acid; and 'wobble' base-pairing, i.e. permitting non-standard base-pairing at the 3rd anti-codon position.
Source: RNAcentral
CGAAGAAUAGUUUAAUUUAGAAUCCUGGCUUUGGGGGUCAGGGAUGGGGGUUAAAAUCCUCCUUUUUCGA